RNAcentral lists this ribosomal RNA (497 nucleotides) under uncultured bacterium. RNAcentral describes it as "partial 16S ribosomal RNA". It matches the Rfam family "Bacterial small subunit ribosomal RNA", at positions 28 to 507 of the family's 1533-position model. The record is from RNAcentral.
GAUGAACACUGGCGGCGUGCCUAAUACAUGCAAGUCGAGCGAACAGACGAGGAGCUUGCUCCUUCGACGUUAGCGGCGGACGGGUGAGUAACACGUAGGUAACCUACCUAUAAGACUGGGAUAACUUCGGGAAACCGGAGCUAAUACCGGAUAAUAUUUCGAACCGCAUGGUUCGAUAGUGAAAGAUGGCUUUGCUAUCACUUAUAGAUGGACCUGCGCCGUAUUAGCUAGUUGGUAAGGUAACGGCUUACCAAGGCAACGAUACGUAGCCGACCUGAGAGGGUGAUCGGCCACACUGGAACUGAGACACGGUCCAGACUCCUACGGGAGGCAGCAGUAGGGAAUCGUCCGCAAUGGGCGAAAGCCUGACGGAGCAACGCCGCGUGAGUGAUGAAGGUCUUCGGAUCGUAAAACUCUGUUAUUAGGGAAGAACAAACGUGUAAGUAACUGUGCACGUCUUGACGGUACCUAAUCAGAAAGCCACGGCUAACUACGUG